RNAcentral lists this ribosomal RNA (165 nucleotides) under uncultured bacterium. RNAcentral's name for it is "partial 16S ribosomal RNA". The record is from RNAcentral.
GUAGUUAGCCGGUGCUUAUUCUUACGGUACCGUCAUUAGCAAAGGAUAUUAGCCUUCACCGUUUCUUCCCUGACAAAAGAGCUUUACAACCCGAAGGCCUUCUUCACUCACGCGGCAUUGCUGGAUCAGGCUUUCGCCCAUUGUCCAAAGUUCCCCACUGCUGCC